UAGGGAAUAUUGCUCAAUGGGGGAAACCCUGAAGCAGCAACGCCGCGUGGAGGAUGAAGGUUUUCGGAUUGUAAACUCCUUUUCUAAGAGAAGAUUAUGACGGUAUCUUAGGAAUAAGCACCGGCUAACUCCGUGCCAGCAGCCGCGGUAAUACGGAGGGUGCAAGCGUUACUCGGAAUCACUGGGCGUAAAGAGCGCGUAGGCGGGAUAGCAAGUCAGAUGUGAAAUCCUAUGGCUUAACCAUAGAACUGCAUUUGAAACUGUUAUUCUAGAGUAUGGGAGAGGUAGGUGGAAUUCUUGGUGUAGGGGUAAAAUCCGUAGAGAUCAAGAGGAAUACUCAUUUGCGAAGGCGACCUUGCUUGGAACAUAACUGACGCUGAUGCGCGAAAGCGUGGGGAGCAAAACA
RNAcentral lists this ribosomal RNA (406 nucleotides) under uncultured Helicobacter sp. Its description in RNAcentral is "bacterial SSU rRNA". It matches the Rfam family "Bacterial small subunit ribosomal RNA", at positions 355 to 775 of the family's 1533-position model. The record is from RNAcentral. Lineage: Bacteria; Pseudomonadati; Campylobacterota; Epsilonproteobacteria; Campylobacterales; Helicobacteraceae.